UUCGGACCGCUUAUAUCAUCCUCUCAUUGCAAUAAAGCAUAUAUGCUUAGCUAAACUAAUGUGUAUGUUGUAUGAUGUAUUAUGACAUUUGCAAUAUUUGAAACCAAAUUAUCAACUUAUUGUUGCCGUGGUGCUUUCAUCGGCGGAAGAAGAUCCGGUAUUUGAGAGUGUAUGUAUAGUAGGGUAUUUGUUUGAAGAGUGUAUGUAUUUACAGUGGAGUAUAACUUUAAAACAAAAAAAAAAAAAAAAAAAAA
Molecule: long non-coding RNA, 254 nt
Filed under: Helianthus annuus (common sunflower)
Lineage: Eukaryota; Viridiplantae; Streptophyta; Magnoliopsida; Asterales; Asteraceae
Description: hypothetical non coding rna
Source: RNAcentral